UUGAUGAGGAUGGCCAGAAACCAAUACAGGUUGCUGCAACAAGAGGCAAUCGUGCAGCUGUUGAGAUCCUUUUUCCCUUGACAUCAGAAGUUCAAACUAUCCCCGAGUGGACUGUUGAUGGAAUUCUUGGAUACAUGCAAUCUGAAACUAACAAACAACUGGAAGAAAUGAGGAAUCUGAGGGAAGUUAUUGCUACAGAGGGCAAUUCAGUACCCAAGAAUGAUCUCCCUGAGGUAUCACUUGAAGCAAAGAGGAGAGCUGCAGAAGCAAAAUCAAGAGGAGAUGAUGCUUUCAGAAGAAAGGAUUAUCGUAUGGCUGUGGAUGCUUAUACACAGGCAAUUGAUCUAGACCAUACUGAUGCCACUUUGCUUUCAAAUAGAAGCCUUUGUUGGGUACGCUUGGGACAACCUGAGCAUGCAUUAACUGAUGCAAAGGCUUGCAGAGCAUUAAGACCAGAUUGGUCAAAAGCUUGCUAUCGGGAAGGUGCAGCUCUGCGUUUAUUGCAGAGGUUCGAUGAAGCAGCAAAUUCAUUUUAUGAGGGUGUGAGGCUUGACCCUGAAAAUAAGGAGCUUGUGUCGGCAUUUAGGGAAGCUGUUGAAGCUGGGAGAAAGUUUCAUGGUACAGAUGAAGGAAAAUC
This 637-nucleotide unclassified non-coding RNA is filed under the name Hevea brasiliensis (rubber tree). Lineage: Eukaryota; Viridiplantae; Streptophyta; Magnoliopsida; Malpighiales; Euphorbiaceae. The record is from RNAcentral.